Molecule: long non-coding RNA, 563 nt
Organism: Hyla sarda
Lineage: Eukaryota; Metazoa; Chordata; Amphibia; Anura; Hylidae
Exons: 3
Source: RefSeq, a predicted model, not a curated record
UCGGCACUGGCAAAGUGGUGUAAGCAAAGUGUGAGAAUCUGGGGCUACCAGUUCUGUUUACAGGUAAUUUGUACAAACAUCUGCAAAAGUUUGAAACCCCUGCCUCCAUAUAAUGAGGCAGAUAACAAUCAGCUACAAACAUCUACAAAGGAUUGGGUUUUGACUACCCUAGCUCUAUAAAAUGUCCUUUGGGAGACUGCACUGAGCAGAUGAAAUGAACACUGCAAAUCUCUGGCCAUCCUAUCAGCACAGACCCUUUUCUUUGCGUGCAACCUGGUAUAUUGACUUACUUAGGAAGAGAGACUCUUGAAGUAGAGAGUGUGUGAAAUGAAGCAGAUAACCAUCAGCAAACAGAGGAAAUUGUUAGCUAACACAGCCUACAUAGAGUAUACUGAAUUGACUUUUACCAUCUGAUCAAUGGAAAAUUUGAUAAGCUGUUCCUGCCAAUACAUUAAGCUAUUUUCCCAUAAGAUUAGAGGGUGAUGCUAGAAUUCUACUAGAUCGUAUUUUGCAGCAGAUUAUAUUGUUCUGCUUUAAUGUUCCAAUUGAGAAGAAUUAGCAUU